AUCCAGCUGACGAGUCUCAUAUAGGAAGAAGUGUGCGUCCUGGAU
Molecule: non-coding RNA, 45 nt
Organism: Schistosoma mansoni
Lineage: Eukaryota; Metazoa; Platyhelminthes; Trematoda; Strigeidida; Schistosomatidae
Source: Rfam